UACGUAGGGACCGAGCGUUGUCCGGAUUCAUUGGGCGUAAAGAGCUCGUAGGCGGCCACUCAAGUCGAAUGUGAAACCUCGAGGCUUAACCUCGAGCCUGCAUUCGAUACGGGCAGGCUAGAGUUCGGUAGGGGAGACUGGAAUUCCUGGUGUAGCGGUGAAAUGCGCAGAUAUCAGGAGGAACACCGGUGGCGAAGGCGGGUCUCUGGGCCGAUACUGACGCUGAGGAGCGAAAGCGUGGGGAGCGAACAGG
This 253-nucleotide ribosomal RNA is filed under the name uncultured bacterium. RNAcentral's name for it is "partial 16S ribosomal RNA". It matches the Rfam family "Bacterial small subunit ribosomal RNA", at positions 524 to 776 of the family's 1533-position model. The record is from RNAcentral.